GACGAACGCUGGCGGCGUGCCUAAUACAUGGAAGCCGAACGCUUUUGUUUUCACCGGAGCUUGCUCCACCGAAAACAAAAGAGUGGCGGACGGGUGAGUAACACGUGGGUAACCUGCCCUCAAGCGGGGGAUAACACUUGGAAACAGGUGCUAAUACCGCAUAACAAUCAGAAUCGCAUGAUUUUGAUUUGAAAGGCGCUUUUGCGUCACUUGAGGAUGGACCCGCGGUGCAUUAGCUAGUUGGUGAGGUAACGGCUCACCAAGGCCACGAUGCAUAGCCGACCUGAGAGGGUGAUCGGCCACACUGGGACUGAGACACGGCCCAGACUCCUACGGGAGGCAGCAGUAGGGAAUCUUCGGCAAUGGACGAAAGUCUGACCGAGCAACGCCGCGAUGAGUGAAGAAGGUCUUUCGGAUCGUAAAACUCUGUUGUUAGAGAAGAACAAGGGUGAGAGUAGAAUGUUCACCCCUUGACGGUAUCUAACCCAGAAGGCCACGGCUACGUGCCA
This 509-nucleotide ribosomal RNA is filed under the name uncultured bacterium. RNAcentral describes it as "bacterial SSU rRNA". It matches the Rfam family "Bacterial small subunit ribosomal RNA", at positions 28 to 510 of the family's 1533-position model. The record is from RNAcentral.